CCAGCCCCUGCACAGCCCUCAGCAGAGGAUUCGGACACAGAGGACGACUCUGAAGCCGAACAAACUGAAAGGAACAUUCACCCCACUGCAAUGAUGUUUACCAGGCUGGAGUUCAUGCUGAGAUCAUGCAGAGUGAAGCCACCAAGACUUUAUGCGGACUGCUGCAAAUGUUAGUGGAAAGCGGAAUGACGGACAAGACAUCUUCUCCAAACAGGCUGGUGUACAGGGAGCAACACCGGAGCUGGUGCACGCUGGGGUUUGUGCAGAGCAUCGCUCUCACGCUGCAGGUGUGCGGCGCCCUCAGCUCCCUGCAGUGGAUCACGCUGCUCAUGAAGGUCGUGGAAGGGCACGCACCCUUCACUGCCACCUCGCUGCAGAGGCAGAGUCCAUGCUGAGGUGGCGCAGGGUGUGCCCGCAGGCCUCGCUGACUGCCACCCACAGCAGCACACUGGUGGAGGAGGUGGUGGCACUGCUGCACACGCUGCACUCCCUGACUCAGUGGAAUGGGCUCAUCAACAAGUACAUCAACUCCCAGCUCCGCUCCAUCACCCACAGCUUUGCGGGAAGGCCUUCCGAAGGGGUGCCCAGUUAGAGGACUACUUCCCCGACUCCGAGAACCCUGAAGUGGGGGGCCUCAUGGCGGUCCUGGCUGUGGUUGGAGGCAUCGAUGGUCGCCUGCGCCUGGGUGGCCAAGUUGUGCACGAUGACUUUGGAGAAGUCACCAUGACUCGCAUCACCCUGAAGGGCAAAAUCACCGUGUUUGCCUUCCAGGAAGCUGUGUGAGCUUGUGCUUCUGUGGUAAGCAGGGCCUGUCGAAUAUAUACAUGUUGUAGAAAACUUGAAGUAUAUAGAAAAUAUCUGAGAACUCCCUGCCGUGGCCUUUAAUGUGAACAACGACAAGUGGACCUGGACCUGCUGCGGUGCCAGCAGUUGAAGCUAUACAUCCUAGGUCGGGCGCUGUUCUCCCACCAGGAUAAACUGCGGCAGAUCCUGUCUCAGCCAGCUGUUCAGGAGACUGGAAGUGUUCACACAGAUGAUGGAGCAGUGGUAUCACCUGACCUUGGGGACAUGUCUCCUGAAGGGCCGCAGCCCCCC
RNAcentral lists this long non-coding RNA (1095 nucleotides) under Homo sapiens (human). RNAcentral describes it as "non-protein coding lnc-APBA2-10:1". Lineage: Eukaryota; Metazoa; Chordata; Mammalia; Primates; Hominidae. The record is from RNAcentral.